GCCGAUGUAGCUCAGCUGGCCAGAGCUGCUGAUUUGUAAUCAGUAGGUCGGGGGUUCGAGUCCCUCCAUCGGCUCCU
Molecule: transfer RNA, 77 nt
Filed under: Bacteroidetes bacterium SW_11_45_7
Lineage: Bacteria; Pseudomonadati; Bacteroidota
Description: tRNA-Thr
Rfam family: tRNA
About the family: Transfer RNA (tRNA) molecules are approximately 80 nucleotides in length. Their secondary structure includes four short double-helical elements and three loops (D, anti-codon, and T loops). Further hydrogen bonds mediate the characteristic L-shaped molecular structure. tRNAs have two regions of fundamental functional importance: the anti-codon, which is responsible for specific mRNA codon recognition, and the 3' end, to which the tRNAs corresponding amino acid is attached (by aminoacyl-tRNA synthetases). tRNAs cope with the degeneracy of the genetic code in two manners: having more than one tRNA (with a specific anti-codon) for a particular amino acid; and 'wobble' base-pairing, i.e. permitting non-standard base-pairing at the 3rd anti-codon position.
Source: RNAcentral